AUGGGAACUGUGUAUACGUUAAGGGCUAUGUUGAACUGUGAUGACCAGGGAAGCUGGUUCUAUUAACUACUACAGUGUCAUCCUUCGAUUUGACAUGCAUUUUUUAAUCAAAUUUUAAUUGAGCUAGCUGUCAAAUCCAUAGUAGCACAAACAAAAGAUCUCUGAAAGUAUCUAAUGAAAAUUCAGCUUUUAGUUUUCUUUGUGGUUUGAUGUUGCUCUUUAGUGUGCAAUAGAGGUUCAGCUGGAAUAAUUAGUAGUCAUUGUAUGUACCUACCAUCCAAAACAACUCCAUGAGCUGCUUCAUAAUAGAUCAACAGGUUCCAGUAACUAUGGUACCUUAACACGAGAACAACAAUGAUCAUAAAAUUUAAUUUUUAUAAUUACUGUGUAUUGCAAGAAUUUUGUUUAGAAUGUUUCCCCUGUAUCGGUAAAUGUUGUCGCUUUUCCUUUUCAUUUUGCUAACACGUAGCAGAGUCUUCUACAUUAAGCAACUGGACUCUUCAUAUAUUUUCUUGAUGUGUGAUUAGUUUUUCAAUUGUUAGUUUCUAUAAUAUUUAGUUCCUUUUCUCUUAUAUCAAUGAAGUAAAUGAGUGGCAUUAUGUUCAGUGUUGUAAGCUAUAUUUGAAGUGUUAAACACAUGGAAGUGAGACCAAAGCUAGGUUCAUUUAUUUGGAGCCACUCAUACUUUACCUUGAAUUUUCUGCUACCUAACGAUCCUCAGUUGGAGCCCAUUAUUCCACCCUAUUUCCAUGGAAAACAGGGGCAUGAUACAUUAGUUUUAGGCUUUCUCCAUUUGGUUAGUUAAAUUUUCUUCUUUUUGUGCUUUCUUCUGCCCAUGGAGUAUUUCAUACAUCACAAAGAUGUUUUGCUGAUAGUGGUAGCUUCGGAGUUCAAGCUUGGCUUUCAUUUUUUAUAACUAAUACCAUUAUCAUGUACUCAAUGAAAAUUGAAACUAUAAGAUGUUUGACAAAUUUUAGAGACAUUUUUGUUUGCCAUGCUGAUAGAUUUGAAAUAUUUACCAUGUCCCAAUACAUAAUGAUAUAUAGGUGGACAUCUAGAAAAGUCUGAUUCCAUUGAACGUCUAAACCUGACAUGAAUCAUUGUUUCAUCUUUUGGAGAUAGCAUUGUAGAGAGUAGAACAAUGUAUGAGACCAGAAGCAUAAAUUUUCUCCAUGUUAACUUGAUCUUCAGUGCAUUAUUAUCAAAUUCUGCGGUUUAUCUUUCUCUGCCAAACAAAGAUCCUUGCAAUUGGUCGUUAGAUGUCGUGUGUUUUCACUUUAUACUGUUUGAUGGAAUAAUCAGGGAUGCUAAAAUAUUGGUCUUGAACAUAAGGUUUGAAUUAUAUGUCCUAUUUUAUUUUUCAUUUCCUGUAGAUGCUGAUGUGGUUUCUUCUUUUGGACAUUAGACGAUGAUCCGAAUUUUUUUCAAGCAUUGCUAAUUCGUUCUCUCUUACAGUUGCAAAUAACAUCACAGGAGAAUUUCCUCAAGCUUUUGCAGGCUGACAAAUAUGACUGUGGCAAUGAUUACUGUGACGGUUCUGGAGCUUGGACGGGGUGCCACCACUGAUGGCCUUUAUGACUGGUGUUCUUUGGAGCUUUUGAUAUUUUGAUGGUCAAAGAAGCAAUGACCAUCAACAGAUGGCAAAUGUGGUUUGAUUUGCCAAAGUCAAAUACAGAGAAAAGCAAAAGAGAAACAAUCUUUACAACUUGCUAACAAAUCAGUGGUAAACCAGAUUUCCAGAAACAGAUCUUCAGGGGAGGAGGAGAAAGAAAGAAAGAUGAAAGGAAGAGGCUGUUCCAAAAAAAAAAAAAAGGAGAGAAGACACCAAGUUCCUCACGAAGUCAGAAAUGCACCACAAAAUCAGAGCUAAUGGAGACUACUAGGAUCUACGGACAAACCCAGAAAACUA
Molecule: non-coding RNA, 1909 nt
Organism: Lolium perenne
Lineage: Eukaryota; Viridiplantae; Streptophyta; Magnoliopsida; Poales; Poaceae
Source: RefSeq, a predicted model, not a curated record